Molecule: small RNA, 67 nt
Filed under: Cytobacillus firmus
Lineage: Bacteria; Bacillati; Bacillota; Bacilli; Caryophanales; Bacillaceae
Also listed under: 1 other name
Description: Bacillus firmus Bacillaceae-1 RNA
Rfam family: Bacillaceae-1 RNA
Source: RNAcentral
CACGAAGGAACGCAGACUAAAAGCGCCACGUCCUUUGGCUAUGUCUGCAUGACCCCCAUCCUGGGGG